CAGAUCAGUGAGGAAGAGGCUAUUGACAAGUGUGGAUUUGCCCAGGCCAGACUCUCCUGAGAGGAGAGAGGACAGAGGCACCAAAUCAGAAGGGACCCUUCUCUGGGCUGUCUGAUAGUCUGCAGAGACACAGCUGCUUCCGUGCUCUGGGAGAGAGGGACUCCUUGGAGAUCUGAUCUCACUAGUAGUCGUAAUUCUUUGGAUGGGCUCAGUUUGUACUGCUUCAUCCUUUGGAGACCAGGUUUCAUCAUGCUGACCAGGCUGGUCCCAAAUUCCUGGGCUCAGGUGAUCCGCUCACCUCACCUCCCAAAGUGCUGGAAUUACAGGCUGAGCCACCUCGCCCGACUGAUACUUGAUUGAGUUCACCUAUCCUGAUUCCCGCAAGUGAACUUACUGGUGAAGCUUCCAGGCCUGGGCUGUCUGCCAUGCUGGUCACUGUCACAGUCAUAGUUGCCCGUCUUGUCAAACUUGCCAUUUCCUCUGGGCUCAUCAUUUUCCCUAUGAUACUCAAUAACUCGCUGCCAAUCUGUGUUUUCUGGGCUCCUAAUGGGGGGUGGCAGCAGGGCGUCGGGCUCAUUUUCAGCCUCGCUCUCUAAAGUCAGACUACUCUGAGGAUGCCAAGGAGGUACUGUGAGCUGUCCAGUAGCUGCUUUCUUUGCCAUUUCUUUCACCUCCACUGUGCACAAGAGAAAGCAGCAUUUAAAACAUCACUGUAAACAUUGGAAACACAGGCUUUCAUCUAAAAGAAAUACAUAAUACUAUCAUAACUCAUAGUGUAACAAUUGCCUUUUUACAGUUGCAUCAUCCUUAGCUUGCCCUGUUUGGCUUGAAUGGGAGGUCAGGGGAGAAUUGAUGAGAGAGAGAGAGAAGGGAAUUUCAGUCAGUUAUCCCAAACAACAGCCCUUGUUGCUGACUUCCAGGGUGAAAGGCAGCAAACAACUUACAGAUAGACCCUCUUCCUGUGAAGUUUUAACAGGAAAAAUGACAUCUAUAGUUCUUAGUGUGUAAUAAUAGAAAGUAUUCUAUUUGAGUUUGUCUAGUCUUUCCAGACUACACUGAGCUCAUAUUUUUGGAGUGCAUACAUAUAUGCAUGUUUUCAUUUCAAAUGUUGUCGAACACUUCUGCUAAUGUCACUUACGACUAGUAUUAAAAAUAGACAUUAUAUCCUUUAAGCCUGUAAGAGAAAACUGAUACAAAGAAUAAUGCCCACAGGAUAUGAGAGUGACACUGCAUACUCUCCACUUUUAUAAUGUUAUAUAGUAAAUAUCUAUGUAGCAGUUCCUCAAAUAAUGUCAUUUUAUUCAACAUUGUUUCAUUGUAACUCUGAUGAGAAAAAAAAAACCAAUCAAUUCCCAGCUGGGGCCACUGUCUGUGUGGCACUUGCAUAUUCUUCCCAUAUCUGCAUGGGUUUUUUCCAGGUAGUCCGGUUUCCUCCCACAUCCUAAAUAUGUGCACGUUAGGUGAAUUAGUAUGUUGAAGUUGCCCCAGUCUGUGUGAGUGGGAGUGUGUGAGUACACUCUGCAAUGGAAUGGUGUCUGUCUAGGGCUGGUUCCCUCCUUGUACUCUGAGUUGCCAGGAUAGGUUCCAGCCACCUGUGACCCUGAACUAGAAUAAACAGGUAAUUACUUAUCUUACUUGUUUUUAUUAAUCUCUCUUAAAUGUGUACAUAGCUCACAUUUAUUUCAAUGUUUAAUAUUAGAAGUGUCUUGGUCUUUAUUUAGAAGUAUGGUGAUGUAUUUGUGACCAGAAAUAUGCUAUAGGAACUUAACUCUUGCUUACAUCAAUUAGCCCAUGGUAAAAUUGGUUUUGUUAUACAUCGUUUUGCUUAAAGUCGUAGUUUGCUUAAA
Molecule: long non-coding RNA, 1847 nt
Organism: Pan troglodytes (chimpanzee)
Lineage: Eukaryota; Metazoa; Chordata; Mammalia; Primates; Hominidae
Exons: 3
Source: RefSeq, a predicted model, not a curated record